This 348-nucleotide long non-coding RNA is filed under the name Marmota monax (woodchuck). The record is from RNAcentral. Lineage: Eukaryota; Metazoa; Chordata; Mammalia; Rodentia; Sciuridae.
CUAAAGAAUAAAUCUGUUUGCUCUAAAUGCAAUGAUUCAGCUGUGGAACAUAAAUUGUUAAUAUUUAAUGAAAAACCCCCUGUAGGAAAAACAGUCAAGGAAGUUUUUGAGAAAUUAAAUUAAAAUCUAGAGAAGAAGAAUUAAUGUUAAGAAGACAGAUUAGUGCUUAGUACUGGGCAACUUGUUCGUGUUCCUGUGCACAAUGGUUUGGUGCUCUUGCUCUUGUUUGAUUAAAAUUAGUAGCCUCUCUUUUCAAGUUAACCACUUGCCAUAACCGUGGCGCCAAUUCUAGUCAGUAAGUCAAGAAAGAAUAGUGAAGGUAUAGGCCAAUAGUCUGGGACAUUUCUA